Molecule: ribosomal RNA, 459 nt
Filed under: uncultured bacterium
Lineage: Bacteria
Description: bacterial SSU rRNA
Rfam family: Bacterial small subunit ribosomal RNA
Source: RNAcentral
AUUGAACGCUGGCGGCAGGCUUAACACAUGCAAGUCGAACGGUAGCAGGAGAAAGCUUGCUUUCUUGCUGACGAGUGGCGGACGGGUGAGUAAUGCUUGGGAAUCUGGCUUAUGGAGGGGGAUAACUACGGGAAACUGUAGCUAAUACCGCGUAGUAUCGGAAGAUGAAAGUGCGGGACCGUAAGGCCGCAUGCCAUGAGAUGAGCCCAAGUGGGAUUAGGUAGUUGGUGGGGUAAAGGCCUACCAAGCCUGCGAUCUCUAGCUGGUCUGAGAGGAUGGCCAGCCACACUGGAACUGAGACACGGUCCAGACUCCUACGGGAGGCAGCAGUGGGGAAUAUUGCGCAAUGGGGGGAACCCUGACGCAGCCAUGCCGCGUGAAUGAAGAAGGCCUUCGGGUUGUAAAGUUCUUUCGGUAUUGAGGAAGGAGUGUAUGUUAAUAGCAUACAUUAUGACGUAA